UCAACGAGUCGGGUUGUUUGGGAAUGCAGCCCAAAUCGGGCGGUAGACUCCGUCCAAGGCUAAAUACAGGCGAGAGACCGAUAGCGAACAAGUACCGCGAGGGAAAGAUGAAAAGGACUUUGAAAAGAGAGUCAAAGAGUGCUUGAAAUUGCCGGGAGGGAAGCGGAUGGGGGCCGGCGAUGCGCCCCGGCCGUAUGCGGAACGACUCUUGCUGGUCCGCCGCUCGGCUCGGGGUGUGGACUGUUGUCGGCCGCGCAGGCGACCAAAGCCCGGGGGCCCUAGGUGCCCCCGGUGGCCGUCGUCGGCACGGCCGGUACCCGCGCGCCGAAAGGCGUGUCCCUCGGGGCACUGCGCUGCAACGGCCUGCGGGCUCCCCAU
RNAcentral lists this ribosomal RNA (378 nucleotides) under Triticum aestivum (bread wheat). RNAcentral's name for it is "partial small subunit ribosomal RNA". It matches the Rfam family "Eukaryotic large subunit ribosomal RNA", at positions 257 to 643 of the family's 3401-position model. Lineage: Eukaryota; Viridiplantae; Streptophyta; Magnoliopsida; Poales; Poaceae. The record is from RNAcentral.